Molecule: long non-coding RNA, 778 nt
Organism: Sinocyclocheilus anshuiensis
Lineage: Eukaryota; Metazoa; Chordata; Actinopteri; Cypriniformes; Cyprinidae
Exons: 5
Source: RefSeq, a predicted model, not a curated record
GCUGCGCGGUCCUUUCCGUUCUGAGGAUGCUACGGUGCUUCAGGUAGCAGUGAGUGUUGUUUACUUUAUUCAUUAUUUUUCAAUUAUAUUAUGUACCCUAAAACACAGUUUAGUGCUUUAUAUUUAUAUUUGUUUAAAACGCAGACGUGGCCUUGCGUUAACGCUGAUUCAAGACCUGCAAAAUGACACCGCAGCGCUUCUGGCCUCGCCCUCGCCUUUAGUCCAGAGACCAACAUGCUUAAUCCAGUAUGACUUGAUGAUAUUACGUUAAUCGUUUUGCAGAUCAUAUCUACUUGAACUGAACUGAUGUUUUGGGAAACCAAAUUUCAAAGAAUGUGCCGAAGUUGCAGCAAUUUUCCAGUUGGAUUCCAGCAGAAUGGUUAAUCGCUACAGUUGAUGACUACUGGGUUUCCAGCAAAGGGUUUGAAGCCAAUAUGGACGUUGUCUCCAGCCCAUGAAGCUACAUAAGGUUGACGUGAUGCCAGAAUUAUGUGCCAGUGAUGGGCGUAUUCCUUUGAAUGCACAGACCUGUCACUCUGACAGAGGUUUAUGCCAUGGCAGAAGAGUUGUGGUGACCGGUUUGGAGCACAAUGUUGAACUGUCAAGCUUUGUAGUAUUGUGUAUCAUAACUUGAACACUUGUUUCACUGUCAUUGUAUAUCAUUCCCAGAACAGUUUGAGAAAGUAACUGCUUGUUUUUGAUUUCUCAGUUGUUUGUAUACUUUUUUUUUUAAUUGACACUACUUUUACGUUUAAUAAAAAUCACUGUUACAGCUCAA